RNAcentral lists this small nucleolar RNA (107 nucleotides) under Theobroma cacao (cacao). RNAcentral describes it as "Plant small nucleolar RNA R71". It matches the Rfam family "Plant small nucleolar RNA R71". From Rfam's summary of the family: R71 is a member of the C/D box family of snoRNAs containing the C (UGAUGA) and D (CUGA) box motifs. Multiple nearly identical copies of this snoRNA have been identified in Arabidopsis, and it is thought to function as a 2'-O-ribose methylation guide for 18S ribosomal RNA. Lineage: Eukaryota; Viridiplantae; Streptophyta; Magnoliopsida; Malvales; Malvaceae. The record is from Rfam by way of RNAcentral.
AGACCAUGAUGUAGGCAUCUCCGAAGCAAAUCUUUAUCCCUCUCCCAUGAUUCAUAUAAAGACUCAAAAUCCAAUUGCAUGAAAGAAGUAAUAUCAUUCCUCAUCUU